This 23-nucleotide microRNA is filed under the name Plutella xylostella (diamondback moth). RNAcentral's name for it is "pxy-miR-965". Its record names the gene pxy-miR-965. Lineage: Eukaryota; Metazoa; Arthropoda; Insecta; Lepidoptera; Plutellidae. The record is from miRBase by way of RNAcentral.
GGGAGAAGUUAUAUCGCUGUAUG